CCUGACGAGUGGCGAACGGGUGAGUAAUGCAUCGGAACGUACCCAGUCGUGGGGGAUAACGUAGCGAAAGUUACGCUAAUACCGCAUACGUCCUGAGGGAGAAAGCGGGGGACCGUAAGGCCUCGCGCGAUUGGAGCGGCCGAUGUCGGAUUAGCUAGUUGGUAGGGUAAAGGCCUACCAAGGCGACGAUCCGUAGCGGGUCUGAGAGGAUGAUCCGCCACACUGGGACUGAGACACGGCCCAG
RNAcentral lists this ribosomal RNA (244 nucleotides) under uncultured bacterium. RNAcentral's name for it is "partial 16S ribosomal RNA". It matches the Rfam family "Bacterial small subunit ribosomal RNA", at positions 87 to 334 of the family's 1533-position model. The record is from RNAcentral.